GGGGUGGCUCGGGGGGCGGGGGAUGCUGGGCUGGGACUCCUGAGCGCCCGGGGCUAGGGCCUGGGGAGCGGCCGGGGACCCCAAGUUGGGUCUGCGGGGCGAGGACCGGAUAGUGGCGUAGGGAAGGGAGGGCGUGAGGAGCGCUUGGCUGCUGUACGUUCAGAGGAGCGCGGGCACCCCAGGAGUCCAGCCUUCAAAGUUUGAGAGGAGAGGAGUCGGGGGUUUAGAAGGUGGGCGCGAUGUUGGAGCCGGGAACCCUCCCUCGGAGCCCCUGGCCCGAGUUGCGCAGAGCCUGCGGCAACAGGUAUCCCCGAGGGGUGGGUGGACCCUAAACCGGCCUUCGUCCGGCGCCUUCGCAGGCUUUCCAAAGGGACCCAGGGGGUUGGGGGCGGGGUUCCUAUCACUUGAGUCCUUGUGACUUGUUUUGGCGUGUUGGGUGGUGGAGGGUGAAUCCGAGUUUGAGGAUCAGGAUGGAGAGGCUGGCGCGCCCCACCUCCGAUUGUGCCACCCGAAAGUGUCCGAGCGCCUCGCGGGACUGCGUCGAGGGAAACAGUGUCCCUUGAAAGUGCGACGGAGGGGAGAAGGAGGUGUGAUUAAUAUGAGCAUCUGGGAGCGUGGAGCAGGGCCUGCAGUACUUCCUACCACUGGCCUUCCGUGUUCUGGAUCAUUCUUACUGGAUCUAUCAGCAAACAGCAUGCAAGUGCCAGCGUCCAAUCAUUCCUGCAUGGAAUGCCAUCAGACUUCCUCAGUUGGAGUUACUUAAAAGUUAAAUUGUUGGGAUUUUUGAUAAUGCCUUUCCCAUGUGGAUUACUACAAUUUGAUGGCUCAGGAACUCUCCACUCAGAAGGUGACCUGACCGCAGAAGUGCUAACUCCUGUUUAUUCAGGAAAGACUUCCGACUGGGGAAGACUUCCAGGUGUGAAUCAUGAGAGAGCGGAGAGGCCUGUGAUUUACGUUUUGGAGGGCAUGCCUGAGUGUGAUUAAGGGAUUUAAGUGCAGGACUCUAAGAUUUACUUCCUUCCUGUUCCAGCAGGGUUACCUGAAGGAGUGCAGCAUUUCUGGUUCCUUCGAGAGGGUGAGGAGAGCCUGCAGGCAUGCUGUGCACCUCUGCAAUUGCUAGUCCCAGGGUCACAGCAAGUGGAAGUGCAGAGCACCACAAACUGCUUUGAGCAGAGCCCACUUCCUUCAUCCCGGAGAGCAUGGAGCCGUUACACCAACAUCAAUCAAGGGGGACCCAGGCGCUGCACUCACACAGUUGAAGCAGGGGAGCAAAUCGAAGACUCACCCAGGAGCAGAGUGCUUUUGAGACAGAGGAAGAAGACAAAACAGCUCCCAGCUCAGCUUCUCUUGCCAUAUUCAGGAAUCACCACACGUGCUGUUAUAUUGGGCCUCAUUUUGUUUCCCUUUCCCCAACACCUGUGUGCUGUGCUUGUGGUGAGUCUUCACAGCCAAGUACAAUUUUUCCAGUUCAACUCCACUGAUCACUAUCAACAAGAAAGUGUAAGAGCUCAGAAGUCAUCUUGGAGGCCCCAGGCGAAGACCAGUCCUGCAACCUUGGAAGGCAGCUAUGGUCACCACUAUACCACCAACGCCACACCAGUCAUGCAACCUUGGGAUGUGCAGGGUUUGGGCAGCCAAGGCUUGCUGCACUAACCCUUUGCUGCAUGUGUUUCAACAGUGCCAUUUACUUGAUGAAUGUCUCUUUUCCGGCAGAUGACAUGAGAACAGUGCUUGUAACUGUUUCUGCUCAGCAUGAUAUUCAGAACCCUUAACAUGGUUACUGACAUACAGGAGGUGUCUGUAUUUGUUGAAUAAAUGAAUAAAGGAGUAAUGUCUACUUUCUGUUGUCAUUAUUUCCUUUCAUAAUAUACCAUAUUCCAUGUCUUUUUGCCCAUCCCCAUCUCUUUCAUGCAUUGUUUCUUAAUUAUGGAUCUUGAUAUGUGACUUAUCCCUAAAGUUAUUUUGUGCUACUGAAUAACAUGUUGUAAGUACAUAAAAUAUUAUAUUAUAUUCCUCUACCUUUCAAUUACAUUCUUAUACUGCCAGGUAUUAUAUUAUCCCAAUAUAAAUACUUUUUAAGUGGCAAAUGUUUUUUGGUUUUUUUUUAAGUGGC
RNAcentral lists this long non-coding RNA (2113 nucleotides) under Heterocephalus glaber (naked mole-rat). RNAcentral describes it as "lncRNA (ENSHGLG00000031518.2)". The record is from RNAcentral. Lineage: Eukaryota; Metazoa; Chordata; Mammalia; Rodentia; Bathyergidae.